AUCGUAGCAUGAGCGUCCGGUCUUGCCUCGCAAGUGAAAAGGGAAUCCAGUGCGAAUCUGGAACUGACGCGCAGCGGUAAGGGGAAUGGGCGACGAUAGCAUAAUGCGGACACUGUCCUGACGGAUGGGAAGUCAUCGCCGCCGAGCCAGCCAUCAUGGCAGAGCCCCGAGUCCGAAGACCUGCCGGAAUACGUCGCAAUGU
This 202-nucleotide non-coding RNA is filed under the name Dickeya dadantii. The record is from RNAcentral. Lineage: Bacteria; Pseudomonadati; Pseudomonadota; Gammaproteobacteria; Enterobacterales; Pectobacteriaceae.